This 13263-nucleotide long non-coding RNA is filed under the name Homo sapiens (human). Its description in RNAcentral is "HSALNT0325957". The record is from RNAcentral. Lineage: Eukaryota; Metazoa; Chordata; Mammalia; Primates; Hominidae.
AGCAGAAGCAGGAAGAGAGCCGGGGGAAGACACCUACCCUGGCCGGAAGACACGAAGAUCCAGAAAAAGGCCAUCCGGGUACAACGUAGCAGUUACAUCGGACUGUGACACUUACUGUUUACAGGAGACUAUAAAACUUUGCCCAGUCGUCACUUGGGGCCCGCCUGCACCCAGGCCGUCAUUAAAACAGCAUGUUGCUCCACACCGCCUCGUGUUGUCUGUUGGUGUGCUCUCAGGGUGGAAACGAUACAAGAACGUUACACUUACAGGCUUUAGUUUAUAUUAUUCUCAUAGAAGACUUCCUCAUAAUCCAAUUUAAAAAAUGAGAGUUUCCCUGCACAAGCUCUUGCUUUGCCUGAUGCCAUCCAUGUAAGACGUGACUUGCUCCUCCUUGCCUUCUACCAUGAUUGUGAGACUUCCCCAGCCACGUGGAACUGUAAGUCCCAUUAAACCGCUUUCUUUUGUAAAUUGCCCAGUCUUGGAUAUGUCUCUUUUUUUUAAUUUAAUUUUAUUAUUAUUAUACUUUAAGUUUUAGGGUACACGUGCACAAUGUGCAGGUUUGUUACGUAUGUAUACAUGUGCUAUGUUGGUGUACUGCACCCAUUAACUCAUCAUUUAGCAUUAGGUAUAUCUCCUAAUGCUAUCCAUUCCCCCUCCCCCCACCCCACAACAGUCCCCGGAGUGUGAUGUUCCCCUUCCUGUGUCCAUGUGUUCUCAUUGUUCAAUUCCCACCUAUGAGUGAGAACAUGCGGUGUUUGGUUUUUGUCCUUGCGAUAGUUUACUGAGAAUGAUGAUUUCCAGUUUCAUCCACGUCCCUACAACGGACAUGAACUCAUGAUUUUUUAUGGCUGCAUAGUAUUCCACAUUUUCUUAAUAUGUGCCACAUUUUCUUCAUAGUAUGUGCCACAUUUUCUUAAUCCAGUCUAUCAUUGUUGGACAUUUAGGUUGGUUCCAAGUCUUUGCUAUUGUGAAUAAUGCCGCAAUAAACAUACGUGUGCAUGUGUCUUUAUAGCAGCAUGAUUUAUAGUCCUUUGGGUAUAUACCCAGUAAUGGGAUGACUGAGUCAAAUGGUAUUUCUAGUUCUAGAUCCCUGAGGAAUCUCCACACUGACUUCCUCAAUGGUUGAACUAGUUUACAGUCCCACCAACAGUGUAAAAGUGUUCCUAUUUCUCCACAUCCUCUCCAGGACCUGUUGUUUCCUGACUUUUUAAUGAUCGCCAUUCUAACUGGUGUGAGAUGGUAUCUAUCUCAUUGUGGUUUUGAUUUGCAUUUCUCUGAUGGCCAGUGAUGAUGAGCAUUUUUUCAUGUGUUUUUUGGCUGCAUAAAUGUCUUCUUUUGAGAAGUGUCUGUUCAUGCCCUUCGCCCACUUUUUGAUGGGGUUGUUUGUAUUUUUCUUGUAAAUUUGUUUGAGUUCAUUGUAGAUUCUGGAUAUCAGCCCUUUGUCAGAUGAGUAGGUUGUGAAAAUUUUCUCCCAUUCUGUAGUUUGCCUGUUCACUCUGAUGGUAGUUUCUUUUGCUGUGCAGAAGCUCUUUAGUUUAGUUAGAUCCCAUUUGUCAAUUUUGGCUUUUGUUGCCAUUGCUUUUGGUGUUUUAGACAUGAAGUCCUUGCCCAUGCCUAUGUCCUGAAUGGUAUUGCCUAGGUUUUCUUCUAGGAUUUUUUAUUAGCAGUGUAAAAAUGGACUAAUACACCACAGCCCCAAGGAUACUCAUUCAAAUUUAUUCUUCAGUAUUAAAAAAUUAGUGCCAAAGAGUAAAGAUCAUGACAUUUUUUUUCCCCACCACCAUAAAACCAAGACCUAGUUUGUGUCUGGUACAUGGUAGGAACUCAUUAAAUACUUGUUGAAUGAGUGAAUGAUCUCCAAAUGGCAAAUUUUACUCUUCCAAAAUUAAAUUUCGUUCUCUGCUCCCUGUUAUGUUCUUUUUGAAAAAAAUUUUCUCAACCAUAACUUUCCAUGUCUGUUAUAAGCCAUUCAUUAGAGUUUUUUGUCAGGUCAGCGCAUAUUUACAAAUCUAGUUAGUUCUUAUUUUUCCAUUACAAACAAAUGUUAGAACAUCAUUCUCCAAAACCCUAUCUCAGAAACAGACAAAUUUGCUUUUAUUUUUGAAGUUUAUUGUUUAGUUUAAAUCAGAUUUUCUAGAUCUUUCCUUUUUACAAUACAAACAUGAAUUCUGUUAACUGAGACUACUUGAAGCUACCCAGUUACCCAGUGUCAGUUUGUACUAACUAUAGAUUUUUAGACCAAUAGCCCUUGUUUUCUCCAUACAUUUCUUGGAAUUUUCUAUUGCUUUUGGUAUUAAGAUUUUUUUUUUUUUGGUCAAAACACUGGGUUUGCCCACCUCCUCCUCCUCCUCCAACAAGAUGCCAGAAAGAAAGAAGCAUGAGUCAUAGGAAAAUGAAAGAGGAAUGUCUCAAAUAUUAGGAUGAGAAGACUGCUCUUCUCAUCUAACAGAUUCUCAUUUCCUGCCCCGCGUCAUUUCUUCCCAUUGAAAUAACAACUGUAAUUCUAGUCAUGGGUGUGUGAGUGUUUGUGAGGGUGGGUGGGAGGUCUUCAGAGGUCUCAAUAAAAAAGAGAGAGUAUGAAACUUUUGUUAUUUCCUGUUUCUGAAUAUGUCUUUUGGUUAAGGAUGUUGGAAGGGGUGAGAAUCUUUGGAUCUCUGUAGUGCUUGUAGUGGUGAUGGGGAGUAUUGAAUGUUUCCAAGCCAGUACGGCACACUGAAUAACUGGAUCAGAGUUCUCUUUUGGUGGGAAUAAUAUUAAUAAAUAAUGGAAGGUAACUACAUGUUGAAGACUUGUAGAGUAAUCAUGAGUUUCACCUUCUCAUGCCAGGUGACUCUUCUUUAUGGGUAUAGUCCUGUAUUUGGUCUUCUAGCUUCCAUGUGAAACUAGUCAACUUCGAGAAGUUUUGAUCUGUCUCAACAGAAAUGAAUCAGGGAGAGGGGAAACAAAUAAAUAAAUGGUAGUUACAUCAAGGUGGUAUACUAAGUAUUAAAUACAAAUUCUCAAAACUUUUACCCAUUUUCAUUUAAAAAUAUUUAUUUAUUAUUUGUACUCUCAUAGAAAAAAAUAAAGAUCUCUCAAGAGGUCUCUCAAGACAUUUGCAAACAAUAAGGUUUUGUUUUUUCAUGAGCCAAGAUGGAUUUUGGUUUGUCCUGACUUUCCUUGAAGUAGUUGUAUUUCAAAUGAUUAAUUGCCUUGAGCUGCUUUUAAAAAUUGUUUUCCUGCUUCUGUGAUUUUUUUAUUGUGACAAAAUUUGAAGGAAGUAGUAGAAAUAAUAUUAAUUAUUGAAGUUUCAAGAAUUUCUUCUUUUUCCUUUCCUUUAGGAAUAAAAUUAAAAUGUAAAAAUCUUGGAAUUUGGCAUUAACCAGCUUAAAAUUUAGUAUGCUAAAAAUAAUAAUAUCAAUUCAACAUUAUUCUAUGAAACUUAUACAAAAUUUUGGAAACAUGGUCUUUACAGAUGCUAUAUAUUUCAGUUAUACAAGUUCAGAAUUAAGUGUUUAUGCCACGUUACAUUUAGAUUAUAGAGUUACUUAUAUUUCCUCACCUUUCAUAUUUUAUUAAAGAGAUUCUCUGACUCUCUAGCCUCUAGUAGCUUUUGAUAACAGUCCUUUCUCCCUAGGGAACCCAACCUCUCUUAUUAAUGAAGUCCAAAUAUGAGUCACCAAUCCACAUUCCCAAACACUAUGCUUUUUAGGUGGCUCUUCGUACUCCUUUACCUCUGGACCAGGCUAAUCAGAAGUGGAGGACUUCAAGUUAAUAAGUCAUGUUAUAGAAUUUUUUCUAUUAUAACUAGGGCUCAGUAUUUUUUUAAAAUCCUAAAAUACCACUAAAUAUCUUUGGCCACAUAAAAGACUAGAUUUCCAGUUCAGAAUGACAACAGAUAUAGGGCUUGACAUAUCAGGUACCAAAUAAUGCUGUGGCAAAGUUUGGAUUUUUUUUGAAGAUAGUAAGAUGUAUGCCAAUCUGUAAUAUCACUUGCAUUAAUGGAUUUCCGAGUACUAUAUAAAUCGACGAUUAUUCUUAUUAAGCAGUGCUAAUAUAUUUUACAAACAAAAAUUCUCCCCAGUUUUAUCCCUUUAUAUGUGUCAUAUCAAAAGACUUAGUCAAAGCUGCUUUCUACUGCUUCUGAUGUUAUAUGCUUCAUAAAAGUGUCCCUGUGCUAUGCUUCUAAUGAAACUUUAUUUUGUCUUGUUUUAUGUAACACAUUUGAAAAUUCUAUCUUUUAAAAUACAUUAUUUUUAUUGCUACAGGGGUAUUAUGUUAUGAUGCUUUCUUUUACAGUUUAUUCUUGUAUUGACUUUAGUUCCAAAAAUAAAUUAAUUCAUAUAUUACUUUUGGUAAUACCUGAAAAAAAUUAAGUUAUUCACAAAAUAUUUGUGAAUCCUGAAUCAGUGUAAGUUCUAUUCAAUUACAGAAAUAGUAAUUGCAUACCUACUAGCACUAUCUGAAGUUAUAUAAAAUGAGAUUUUUGUUUUCUUAUUUUUGCUUUUGCCUUCUUCCAGAGAGUAUUGAGUUCCACGAGAGAAAGGCCUUUGUUGGUUCACUGCUGGAUUGCUGGUUUCUAUAAUAUUUCAUGGCACAUAGUAAACUGCCAAUAAAUAUUUGCUGAAUGAAUUCACUUAUUCAGAAAAUAUUUAUUGAGUGUCUCUUGUAUGCCACAUAUCUAGGCACUGAGGAUAGAACAGUGAAUGGGCCAAAGUCCUGACUUUUUGGAAUUUAUUUUCAAGUGGGAAGAGAGAGAUUAUAAAAUACGUGACCCUGAAAAUAUAUGUCAUAUGUCUGAUGUUGAUAGUGCCAAGAAGAAAAAUAAAGCAGGACAAGGUGUGGGGAGAGAGAAUUAUUAUCCUAGCUAAGGAAUUAAGUGAAGGCCUCUCUGAGAAGGUGAAAAAUGAUUGAAUGUUACUACUCCUGUGCCACUGCCACUGGUGAUACUGAAGAAAGUGGAAGACCAGGUCUUAGACUCCAAGGUGAGUAUAAUAUGAUGAUAAAGUCAGACAUAUUACCUAUCAUAAACAUAAUGUGCAAUGAUAGUGUCAUACGUACAUGCUAUGGAACAGUGUCUGGAGAAUGAAGCAUAGCCACCUAUUAGCAAGCAGAGUAUAUGGUGGUGGGGUGGAGGAUGACUACAGUCUGAAAAUGCAGAACUGAUUCUAGGCUGUGAAGGUUCUGCCAGAUCAAGGACUUUGGGCUUCAGUCAAUAGCUGGUGGGUGACUAAUGGUAGUCUUUAAACAUGGAAAGGGACCAAUCAGAGCUACAUUCUAAAAACUAACUGGUAGCAAAAUGGGUGGAUUCGAGGGCAUGAGAUUGGGUCAGCUGAUGUUUUGAUAGAAUUUGUGAUCAAAUAUUACUUGAAAUAACAGAACCUUAGUUGGGCCAAAUCUUUUCUUCAAACAAAAGAAUAGUGCUUCCAAGAUUUUUGUUUUUAUGGUCGAACCGGAUUACCAUAUAAAGACAUAAGAAAGAAAGAAAUAAUAUUUCAUGACAAACUAGCUGAGAAGGAUCAAGAGAAAGGCAAGAAUGAAGAUUUAUAAUCUGGGAUUUAUAGAAUAGCUGUAAUUGGUACAGGGAAAACACCCAAUUUAUCUGGAUAUACUUGUGUUUCCCUAUUUAAUCCACAUGGUGUCAUUUUUUACAUGUGUUUUCUCAGAGCAGUUAUUUUCAUUCACAGGCUGUGGUGAUGACUCACUUCAUUCCCUUUUGGGUAUUAGAGGCUCUUAUUUCAUUCAGGAGAUUUUCCGAUUCACCAGACAGUGCAUUAGACAUUAUUGUCUUGUUGGAAUUUGGCUGGGGGAAAAUACUUAAAGAAAUAUAUCACUGUUGCUUGUACCACCCUCACAAACACAUUUUAUUUAGCAAAAUCUGAACCUGAUGAGGAAUCCGUAUUAGUUUGCUAAGGCUGCCAUAACGAAGUACCAUAGACUGGGUGGCUUAAAUGAAAGAAGGUAUCAUCUCACAGUGCUGAAGGCUAGAAGGCUGAGAUCAAGGUGUAGGCAGGGUUGGUUCCUGUUUUGGACAUUGAGGGAAAGAUACGUUCCAGCCCUCUCUCCUUGGCUUGUAGAUGACAUUCUUCUCCCAGUGUUUUCACAUGGUCUUCCAUCUGUGCAAGUCCCUCUGCACAAAUCUGUGUCCAAAUUUCCUCUUCUUGUAAGGACCCCGUGCUUAGGGUCUACUCUAAUAACCUCAUUUUAACUUAAUUACCUCUUUAAAGGCCCUAUUUUCAAAUAUGGUCAUAUUCUGAGGUACUAGGGGUUAGAACUUCAGCAUAUGAAUUAGGAGGAUGGGGAAUUCAGAUGAUAAUAAAGUCUAAAUGUUUGGCUUUUUCUCUCCAGAUACCCAGUUUCCCUAAAGUGACAAUCACACCCAGUGACUGGCUGAUGCAGUGCUAUAAAGGUCUGUUCCACUUGCUGCAAAUUCAGGACAAUUCCGUAAAGCCAUCCCAGCCCCAGAACUCGCUGUGCCAUGAGCUGAGUUCUUUGUUAUGAGAGUAUCACAGCUCCCCUCUCUACCUAGUCCUACUUCCUCACUCCCUCAUAAGUGUUGGGUCCUUAUAAAUUUGCCAAGGAACUCAACCUGUGACAACUUUAGUUCAAUAGAUUUGACCCUUUCCUUGCAAGGGAACUAUUGGUUUCUUACUAUUAUUGUCAGUUGUCCUCAUUAACAAAGUCAUUUACUAACUGGCUGCAAAUUACUGAAAAUUGUUUGGAACGACAAUUUUUCGUAUAGACUUCAAUGAUUAUUCUGGCUAAAGGUCAUUUUUUUUCUCUGCACUUCUGUAGGACAGCCCUGUACAAUUUAGUACUUUAAUGGUGAUUUGUAUUUUUUGCUCAUUCACAUUUGUAAAUUAUUUAAGGUUGCACAUUUCUUGAAAGUUGAUAUGCUUCUAUCAGAUUUUUUUCUGUUCUUCAAAAUGUUUAACGUAGUUUCAGAGCUCUAGUUGGUACUUAAGGAAUUUGGGAGCAUACAGUAGUGUAGAUACCCCAGAAUUUUUAAAUGAGAGUGUGGAAUCUGAAUUAUAAAACUCAUAUUAGGGAAAGCCUACACUGGGAAAAGAAAUUGCAUAUGUGGUAUAAAAUAAAUAGAAGAUCUGUGUUUGAAUAUUGACUAUGCUGUUUACUCACUAUGUGAUCUUAUAAAAGUUACUUACCCUCCCUGAGCCUGAGUUUUCUCAUCCAUAAAAUAGGAAUAUUUUUAAUAGCAAUCUUAUAAAGUUGCUGUGAAUGUUAAAUGAGAUGCAGUAUUAAAUAAGAUGCAUGCAGUAUUUAGCACAUGAUUCAAUCAUAAAAUGGAUAUUACCUUCACACUUCAAUAUUUCUGAAUUCAUGAUGCAUCUUGUGAUUAGUGUCAAAAGAAAUUUGUCAAUUUUACACAACGAAGUGGAGUGUGAUACAUUAAUAGUUCUUAACGUCUAUAUGAGUGGACUUAGUCAUCAGAGAAGAUAACUAUUCACCCAGUUACUUGCCUCAGUUAAACACCUUGUAGUUGUGACAGAACCUUAAAUUUGGAUACCUAAUUAUUAUUUUAAGGUGUCCCCAAAAGGAUUACAUUAUAAUCCAAAGACAUAGCUUUAACAUAAAUGGUUACAGUGGAGCAGAUUGCCUAUCAUAUGCCAAGUAAUUCAAAUAAAGAUGAUGGAAAUUUUUAGAUAUUUUAGAAUUAGCUGUAUAACCUUAAAAAUUAGAAAAAGUUGUAUGACCAGUUGAUGAAUUAUGAAAACCAAACUCUAAAUCUAAUCCUAAAGAAGCAAUCAGACAAACCCAAAUUGAGGGGCAUCCUACAAAAUAACUGAUCUAUGUUCUUCGAAAAUGUCAGUGUCUGGGAAAGCAAAGCAAAGCAAAGCAAAGUUGAGGAACUUUUUAGAGUUAAGAGAGACUAAACCAGUAUGACAACUAAAUAAAAUAUAUGGUCUGGAUUGGAUCUUGAAUUAGAAAAAAUAAAAUUGCCAUGAAGGACAAAUUAGGACAAUUGGUAAAAUAUGGUAUUGACAAUUUGAUUAUCAUAUUGCAUCAAUGUUAAAUUUUCUGAAUUUUCUUAUUAUACUUAUUAUAUUAUAUAAAAUUCUUAAAUACUAUAAUUAAUCUAAUUAUACUGACUUAUUUAAGAGUUUUCCCAGGUUAAGUUCCUCAGCAAGUUUGUAAGGACUCAACACUUGUGAGGGAGUGAGGAAGUAGGAUUAGGGAGAAAGGGGAGCUGUGAUACUCUCACAACAAAGAACUCAGCUCAUGGCACAGAGAGCUCUGGGGCUGGGAUGGCUUUACGGAGUUGUCCUGAAUUUAGGGCAAGUGGAGCAGACCUUUAUACCACUGCAUCAGCCAGUCACUGGGUGUACACUGCCCCAGGGAAGAGUACAUGACAUUCAUCAAAGUGUGUCUCUUUAGCCAAGGAUAAUUUCCAGAAGGGGAUUCAGCUGCAAGCUGUUCAUUGCCAAAACUCUUCAGCUGAUGGGGAAAAUUAGUAGUUCAGUCCUAAAGAGGGAAGAGGAAUAUAGGUGUCAGACCACAGCAUCCAAUCUGGUUAUCAUAUCUGUAAUUUACUUUAAAAUGAUUCAGUAAGUAAAAUGAUGUGAGAACAAAGAUAAUACCAAAAAUGCGGAAAAGCAAGAAAGAUCUCAAAUUAGCAAAAUACGAAAAAACCGGUGAAUCUGGGUGAAGUACUGUUUUCAGCUUUUCUGUAGGUUUAAAUUUAAAAAGAAAAAGUUUUAAAAAUGAAAUUCCCAGGUGAUACCAGUACACUAGCAGAUUGGAGGACUGUGGAAUGAAGUCAUCUUUAGAAUUCAUCCCAGCUCUAGCAUGAGGGAAUUCUGUGACAUGAUCAGAUUGGUUAUGGUGCAUUUGCUUUGGGCUUUUGAAGCCAUGGAACCACAGCAUAUUUCCUACAUGUUUGUUUUGUCCAUAAGUUCUCAAACUUUAGUAAAUCAUAUUGUUUAAUUAAAUGGGUUUGAGGGAUUGUAAUACCAACCCUGAAUUUAUAAAUAAAGCUGUUCUUUUCUCUAUUUUGAUGAACAGUGGGCAAGUUUCUGUAUUAAAGAUCAAUUAUUAUCCAUUUGAAGAAAAACAAGGAAGCUGAGAAUAUUCAAGAUAAAUUUAUUGAGAUUAUUAGAUCUCACAGUUAAUGAAAUUGUGUUGUAAUAGAUACAUACUGUCAAUAGUUUAUUGAAAAACUGCAAGCAAAGCAAAUGUCUUUGCCUUUAUUAAAAGUCAGGGGAAGAUAUAGCAGGCUCAAAUAUUUAAUAUUUAUCUUUUUAAUUGUGAAAUCAUCUUUGGGAUAUUUAUUUAUUAUGAAAUACAUUUUAAAAUAUUGCUUAAUUCUAAAAUACGAUUUAAAAUAAACUAUUUUUCUGUGGUUUUUACUGAGUCCUCAUCUCACUAGGCUGGAAUAUUGAUCCCAACCACAUCUUGUUUUAGAUGUGAGGAUGGUCAUGUCUUCCCACUCUGUUUUCAGUGUUACAUCAAAAAGUCCCAAUUCAAGGGCACUGAAGACAGUUAUUUUCUUAUUAAAGGUUUGCCAACUCCUUUCUUACAGGGAUCUUGCUGAAUGCUUUCAACAAUCAUUUUUAAGCAUAGACUCUAGAGUCAGUCUCCCUGGAUCUGAAUUCCAGUUCUAACACGUAGCUAUGUGCUCUUUGGAAAAUUACUUAACCGCUCUGUGUCUUAGUUUCCUCAUCUAUAAAAUACAGUACUUAUAGAGUUAAUAGUUAAUAUUACCUAUGUUAUAGAGUUAUUUUGAAGAUUAAAUGAGUUACAAUAUGUAGAACACCAGGCAUGUAAUAAGUACUUAAUAAGGAUUAGGUAUUAUUAUUGUCAUCAUUAUUAGAUAUUUAUACUGCAUACUAGAAUCAUAUGUUUUAACUUAGAUCAUUAUUAUUAUGUUGAUUUUAUAAAAAUAAAGAUGCAGGUUAAUUAAAUGUUAAUCUGAAAUCGCCAAGGUCAUCUAGCUAGUGAAGGAGGGGAGCUGGAAUUCAAACUUCAAGCCCAAUUUUCUUUACACUGUUGUGGACUCAUGGGUGAGAGAAUUCCAGUGUAUUUUUUUGUCAGCCUCCUGGGACCAGCAGCAGAUUAUCAUUUGGAAUGGACUUAAAUAGGCCCUGCCACCUCCAAUGUGUUUUUACAUGUAAUCCUGCGUGCCACAGAUGUAAGCAUCUGGGGACUUUAUUUCCUAUCAGAUUAUAAAUUAUUGAGAGCACAGUCUAAGUCUUGUUGGUAUUUGUGUCCCAUGCACUGCUUAGUGCAAUGCUUUGAAGAUAAUAGUUGUUCAGAAAUUGUCAAUAGCAUUCCAGAACAAAAUUACUAUUGAUUUUUAACAUAGUUAGGCUGGGUGCAGUGGCUCAUGCCUGUAAUCCCAGCACUUUGGGAGGCCGAGGCGGGUGGAUCACAAGGUUAGGAGAUCGAGACCAUCCUGGCCAACAUGGUGAAAUCCCGGCUCUACUAAAAAUACAAAAAAUUAGCUGGGCAUGGUGGCAUGUGCCUGUAGUCCCAGCUACUCAGGAGGCUGAGGCAGGAGAAUCCCUUGAACGCGGGAGGCGGAGGUUGCAGUGAGCUGAGAUUGUGCCACUGCACUCCAGCCUGGGCGACAGCGCGAGACUCCAUCUCAAAACAAACAAACACACAAACAAACAUAGCUGAUGCUCGUGUCUUAGUUUUACAUGUUGCUGUUCCGACAUUUAGUAGGGAUGCAAUAGCCAAGACUCAAGCUUGCCACAAGGAAUUAAACAAUUUGAACUUUGCUUUGUCCACCAAUAAAAUUCAUCCCAUUAUGGUUUUGUGUAAAACAAGCCUUAUUCUCUGCCUAUAGAUUAUUUCAAAAUGUUAAUUAGUGUGGGCAGACCUGAUAAUAAUUUCCUGAUUUGUAACUAGAUCUUUUAAUUUAUCUAACCUUAAAGCUUUGUGUUAUUCUUUUCUCCUUAUGAACUUAUUGCCAUUUCAAUCAAGCUUGUGCAAUCGUCAACCCACGGGCCACAUGCGGCUCAGGACAGCUUUGAAUGCAGCCCAACAUAAAUUCGUAAACUUUCUUAAAACAUUAUGAUUUUUUUUUUGCGUUUUUUUUUCUUUUAGUUCGUCAGCUAUUGUUAGUGUAUUUUGUGUGUAUCCCAAAGACAAUUCUUUUUCUUCCAGUGUGGCCCAGGGAAGCCAAUAUGGAUAUCCCUGAUUUAGAUGAUAGUCCGCUUCUGACACUUCAUUGAGCUUCAUUUACCUAAUCUGCCACAAGCAAAAGUUAGAUUAGAUGGCUUCUAAAAUAUGACUUUGUAAAUUUUUGCUCUUUAUAAGAAGAUAUUUGUAUGUAAACCAGUUUAUUUCCAUACUAACCGAGAUUGUCUCCUUUCAGAGUAACAAAUCAGAUUGCUAUCCAUUUGGCCUGGUCAUUUGAGUCUUGCUGAUUGGUCUAUGAGAAACAUGGCCAAAAUUUUGAAUCUGCUCUUUAGGGGGACAUUUAGGUGAACUGGUAUGAACUGAUAUUUUAGAAUUGUGUCCAGUUGAAUGUGUGUGUGUGUGUGGGGUGGGGGGGGGUUGCCACAUUAUCAGUUUUUCAUCUAAUUUUAAUAUUAUUUGAAGGGUCCUAGUCAACUUUGUUCAUGUAUUUCUUCUUAAACACAAUAUAAACAGACCCAUUAUUAGGAUUCAAACUUUGAACUGUAUCCUUUCCUCCUUCCUUCCCAACUCCUUUCUCUGCCCCUACUCCUCCCUCCUUUCUUUCUCUCUCCUUCUUCCUUUUCUUCCUCUCCCUUCUCUGCCUUUCCUCUCCCCUCCACAUACUUUCUCCUUCUUCCCUUUCUUCCUCCCUCCCUUGCUUACUCACUCCUUUCUUUCUUUCUGAGAAAGUUUAAUGAGAAUCCACUGUGAGGCACUUUUCUGAGGACUUAACAAUUCAAGCCUUAAAUAAGGUCUAGUCUUGUCCUCAGGUAGCUCUUAGACUCAUAGGGCACACUGAAAAGAAUAGAUACUAAUUAUAAAAUAAGUUGGUAAGUACAGCAAUAUGAAAAACAGUGCAUUCUCAUAGGGUUAGAUAUAGUUUAGGGUUAGGAAGCAUUCCAAAUGAGGUGAUAGUUGGGUUGAGACUAGUCAGACAAGGAUGGUCAUGGUAACAAUAUAUACAAUAUAUCUACUAUAUAUAUACACAAUAUAUAUACACAAUAUAUAUAGAAUAUAUACUGUAUAUAUAUAAUGCAUAUAUAUACAUAUGUGUGUGUGUAUAUAUAUAUAUGUAUGUAUAUAUAUAUAUAUUUCCCUGCAUCCCUUUUACUGAACUUUUGGAGUUUCAUGACUGCCCUUUAGAACCUGGAAAAGAACACAAGCUACAGUAAAGAAAAAUAUGCCUGUCCAAACAAAUUUGAAAGGUCAACUCUCAGUCUAUCAAAUUGAGAUUCUUGUCCUACACUUGAUUCUCUUAGUGUAACACCCACAUGGUUUGAAGGGAAACAUGCCCUUUAGAAAACAGGACAGACGGUUAUGGGCCGGGUGUGUCAAACUUUUUGUAGUACCCUGGGUUUUAUCAAAAUAACGCCAUCCAGUUUUGCCAAGGGCUUUGCUCCUCACUUAAAAAGACCUUAUAUUUCAAUCCGUGUGUUUCAUAUUCAUUUAGACAUCUCAUCAAGCUAGAGUUGGGUAAGAGUUGUUUAGUAUCCAAAACAUCUUUCCUACUAGCCUUUGAUUCUUAGAAAUAAAGAAUUAUGCCGGGUGUGGUGGCUCACGCCUAUAAUCCCAGCACUUUGAUAGGCCAAGGAAGGCGGAUCACUUGAGGUCAGGAGUUCAAAAACAGCCUGGGUAACAUGGUGAAACCCCAUCUCUACUAAAAAUACAAAAAUUUGCUAGGUGUGAUGGGGCUUACCUGUAGUCCCAGCUACUCAGGAGGCUGAGAAUUGCUUGAACCCAGGAGACAGAAGAUGCUGUGUGCUGAAAUUAUGCCACUGCACUCCAGCCUGGGUGGAGAGUCUGAGACAGAGUGAGACUCUCAAAAAAAAAAAAAAAAAAAAAAAAAAAGAAAGAAUGAAUGAAAGAAUUACACUUUGCCAAAUGUAAAUGAAUUUCGGACCCUUACUUUUCAAAGGGGCUUUGCAAAUCGCCUUGUGCUGUAGGCAAAUCUGGAAAAAUCUUUGUGUCCCUAUCCUGAUUCUAGAGAUACUCAGGCAUGGGAACCUUUCUCAAAGUGAUCUCUCUACAUUAGAAUCCCAACAGGGGUUCCUAAAAAUGCCUCUUGAUGGGCCCCAGUACAGAUUUACUAAAUUUGAAUCCCUUCUUGUUUUAUAUAAUGUGAUUCUUUAGAAGGAACUGCAC